This 77-nucleotide transfer RNA is filed under the name Garra flavatra. RNAcentral's name for it is "tRNA-Lys". It matches the Rfam family "tRNA". From Rfam's summary of the family: Transfer RNA (tRNA) molecules are approximately 80 nucleotides in length. Their secondary structure includes four short double-helical elements and three loops (D, anti-codon, and T loops). Lineage: Eukaryota; Metazoa; Chordata; Actinopteri; Cypriniformes; Cyprinidae. The record is from RNAcentral.
CACUAAGAAGCUUAAUUAUUGGACAAAGCAGUGGCCUUUUAAGCCAAAGAUUGGUGCCUCCCGACCACCCUCAGUGA